AUUCUACCCAUGUGGGGAAGGAUGAGAAGCUUCGACUAAGGUUCGAUUCGAGCGAAAGCGAGAAAGCGUUGCCAACGGCAACGACCCGAAGGGCGAAGCGCGCAGCGCUGAGUCAUCCUUCCCCCACCACCA
RNAcentral lists this small RNA (132 nucleotides) under Salmonella enterica. RNAcentral's name for it is "RtT sRNA". It matches the Rfam family "RtT RNA". Rfam says of the family: This family represents a bacterial cis-regulatory element known as RtT RNA. The exact function of RtT is unknown although it is thought that it may be involved in changing the cellular response in relation to amino acid starvation. RNAcentral also lists the same sequence under 7 other names. Lineage: Bacteria; Pseudomonadati; Pseudomonadota; Gammaproteobacteria; Enterobacterales; Enterobacteriaceae. The record is from RNAcentral.